Equus caballus (horse) is the source of this 2381-nucleotide long non-coding RNA. NCBI's taxonomy places the organism in Eukaryota, Metazoa, Chordata, Mammalia, Perissodactyla, Equidae. The record is from Ensembl.
AGGGACAGGCACCUGACCCAUAUUUGGACAAUAAUUUUCUCCUUGGGAAUUUUGAAGAGAUAGAGAUGAGAGAAAAAGAGCUGUCUUAACUCCUCUCCAGCUGAUUGGUCCAAUAACAUACAACGCUUGGGUGCUCUUGGCAGCCAUGUUUCCCUCACUGUGCAGAAGCCAAAAGCAGAAGAAGCUGGUCGGAUGAGAGAGAAAGAAAGAUGAGGAGACUCCCGGUGGCAUCUGAAUUUCUGGUUCCACUCCAUUCCUGAGGCCAGGCUAUAAUCUAGUUCCUGGUCUCUGAGACAUGUCCCUGUAGUGUUGUAAUUAAGUUUCCCUUUCUUGCUUAAACUAGUUUAGGUAGAUUUUUUGUUAUUUACAACCCAAAGAGCUAAGGAAUAGUAUGAACUUUCUUACCAGAUGCAUUUGUUCAUUCAAGAAAUAUUUUUGGAGCAACUGCUAUGUUCCAGGUAUGUGCAAGGUGCUGGAAAUUCAAUGAUGAUCAGGAUAGACGUGGUAUCUAUCCUCAGGGACUUUGUACUAGAUGGGUAAAAGGCCAGGGCAGGGCAGACAUGGAACAAAUGUUUGAUAUAUACGAAGAUAGAACAGAUUUAUGAGAACAUAGAACAAGGUUAUGAGAACUGACAAGCUGAAGACUGAAGGACUGGCCAGGAAGUGGUGGAAGGAGGUAGGAAUUAGGCCGUGGAGGAGGGAGAGCAUCCCAGGCAAGAGAAGAGUGUGCGCGAUGAUAACGCCAUCGUGAAGCCAGCAUCCUCUGGAGAGAAAGCAACACUUCAGGUGGAGCUCCAGCAGUAAUUUUUCAUCCAUGAGGUGAUCUUAAGGAUUGAAGUCACAUGCUAAGGAUGGCAGAGCAGAAGACAGAAGGCGCCCAGCUUCUAGGAUCUUGCAAAGUCCCCAUAUCAGCCUGGUCUGCCUGAAGACAGUUUACCAUCUCCUAGGUGAUGCUGCUUGCCCUGGACCCUUGAAUAGCAGCGACCUAGGAGAUCUUUCCAGGUGCUGGGGAAAGAAAUGAUGAGAGAGGAGAAAGGGAAGCUGAAAGCAGAGAGGAGAGAAUUUCUGAAAAUGGGAAACGAAGUUAUUUAGCAGCUCUACCCUCAAGCAGGUUGUGUGUUCCAGAGCAGCCUGGGCUGCUGGCCUCCUGGGAGGUGGGAGGCGUUCCUGCUCCGGCUCUGACCUGGGACCUGCACCCUCUCCCUGGAUGCCUGAGGCCUUCCAGGGACCCCUAAAACCUGACAGUUUGGGCCAGCAAUUGGCAAACUGGCAAGUGCCGGGUCCCAGUGAGGCCCCUGGUUUCCUCCCCAAAUAGGAAGUAAAUGGGCAUUUUGUGUCCCCACUCAGGCAGAGCCUCUGGAUGGCCUCCCCCCACCGGUGCUUCCCCGACUCCCAGGGCUCUGGCAUAAAUCGGAGCCAUUUCCUUCUCCGGUUUCCCACCUGUGACUAGCCUUUGUCUAAUUUCACCACUGUGGGGACCAGGGGAGGGUUCCUUGGACAAUAAAUCUUUCAUCGGGAAGGUGGUUUUAUCAUUUGAAAGGAUGAUGUUAAAGAAAGAGAGGACAUAAGUGACUAAUGUGCUCAGGGGAUGGUGAAAAGGAAGAGCUCAGGGUGACCAGAAAGGGGUCAGGCUGGUAUGGCAGAGCAGGGCUGAGGAGGAGCGGGUGGAGAGAAUCAGGGAGGCACAUCAGGAAUGCCAGUCCGACACCUGACUGCAGAAAAGGGGCAAAGAGCUUCCUGGUUAGAAGAGAAACCAGGACCCGUGGUGUGGCUCCCUCUCCUCUCCAGAGCACAGGCUGUGGUCUGCUUUGACGUCAGCUCCCGGAUGCACCCAGGUUAUUGGACACGUUGCUUUCAGAUCUGGGCCAGCUGGGGAGGGAAGGGGCAGUGGGGGCAGCCCUCUCACUGAAGGAUGCCCAGAGGUACCUGGUGUGGAACAUCUGCAGGGUGAGCCAAGAUCAUCCUCCAGCCUUCAUCCCUUCAGGGAUGUUUCCCAACCCAGGCUCCCACUCCUGGCUCGUUUCUGAGACGGCAUCGGCAUUCCCAGGGCACUGAUGGCCAAAGCCACCAGGGGGCUGCCACAUGGAAUGGUGUUGGUAUCCCAGGUCACCCUCACUCUGGCUGAUCGGGCCCUAGAAGCAGAGGAAAUCCAAGAAAACCCUCGCUGGAGCCUAUGGACUCUACUGUCUCCCAGCCACCACUAUCUUUGGGACCAUCCUGCUCCAAAUGGUUGACAAUACUUGCUGCCUCCACUUUCUGGAUUCCCAUUCUCCCAGAACUCUACAGUCUAGCUUCUGCCCCACCCCACCCCACUGAAACUGCUCCUACCAAUGGUGUCAACAGCCUGACACCAAAUCCAGGGGUCACUUCCCAGUUUUUAC